Oncorhynchus keta (chum salmon) is the source of this 12250-nucleotide long non-coding RNA. RefSeq lists it as uncharacterized. Lineage: Eukaryota; Metazoa; Chordata; Actinopteri; Salmoniformes; Salmonidae. The transcript is spliced from 2 exons. The record is from RefSeq and is a predicted model, not a curated record.
CACGCUUAGAAAAAGGUAUCUAGAACCUAAAAGGGUUCUUCGGAUGUCCCUAUUGGAGAACCCUUUGAAGAACCCUUUUUGGUUCCAGGUAGAACUCUUUUGGGGUUCCAUGUAGAACCCUUUCCACCGAGUGUUCUACAUGGCACCCAAAAGGGUUCUACUUGGUAACCAAACAUUUUUAAACCUGGAACCAAAAAGAACCCUUUUGGAACCUUUUUUUCCCCUAAGAGUGUAGUGCUACUCCUUCCACCAGGACUUGUCUCUCUGACAUCCCUGGGUGUGUCCCAAUAAAAUGUACUUUCUCCUGAAGUGUACACUUGUUCACUACUUCCCACAAAUCUAAAAGCAUUGGAUUGGUGGAGGCGUGGGCUAAGUGGGUGUUUCCACCUUAUUUCUUAUACCAGUCAUUGUUCUUCAAAUCAGUGAAAUGCACGCUUUGGGAGGAAGGAGAGAUCUUGUGGUCCUUCUGUGGCUCAGUUGGUAGAGCAUGGCGCUUGUAACGCCAGGGUAGUGGGUUUGAUUCCCGGGACCACCCAUACGUAGAAUGUAUGCACACAUGACUGUAAGUCGCUUUGGAUAAAAGCGUCAGCUAAAUGGCAUAUAUUAUAUUUAUAUAUAUCUUUGGGACAGACUCCCUAUCUUGUAUGCAAUAUUUACUCCUCUCCUAGGCUGAAUUUAUAUACAGGAGGACACCUGAGAGUGAGGCUGGACAUGUACAGGAGGAGACCUGUGAGUGAGUGUUAGAGAAGUUCAACAUCAUGAGCGGGACGUUCAGUGUUCUAUGACGAAAAAUGUGUCGACAUUCUAUUUUUCCUGACUAAAACUAUGCCUAUAACGAGACGAGGUGCCCUCGAAAAUAUAACUAUGACAAAUGUUUUUCUUCGUUUGAGUUGAUGAAAAUGUAACGAGAUUUGACGUGACGCCCCUUUUAAUCUGUUUUGUCCAAUCAGAAGCAUGCAUACCUUUGCAGAAUAUUUAAUUAAAUUCUCUUAUUGGCUGAUAACAUCUGUCAUGCGCCCGGGCUACUUGAGUUUAUAGCCCUACCAGUCUUUCCAACACACACAGCUCCCAGGCGGUCGCUUCAAUCGUCUAUGUUUUUGAACUGAUGCUCAGAGAACUUCUAAAUUGUAACUAACCUCUAUUCUGUUAAGAAACAAUCAUGUUCAUAUUGGAUAUUUUUUACUUUGAUCACAUCCGAAGCUAUACGUUGCCAUUUGCGCUAAUAUUCAUUAGUGUUGCCGCUCUCACGGUACGCAAAUAAAAGCCGCAGUUAAUUUUUUCCGAUUGGAAAUACUACUGCUAUUUACUGAAUAUCAGGAACACAGCAAUAAUUCUGUCUUCGUUGGAAAGCUUUGAUUCUCCCCCUUUUUCAAUCGAGUCACUGUUAUUUAACCCCCUCUGGCGAUUAUGAUGGGUAGAAAAUCACAGCUGUUAAUUGGUUAACCUGUAUCCAAUCACGGCUAUUGUUACUUCCACAAUGGCAAUUUGCCAGCUACGUCAUAGGAGAGUAUACACACUGUACUAGUAAGCCCAGUUGGACAAGGCUGAAUAUGCACACGAUCAAAGUUAGGGAGAAGACUAAAUAUUAGUUAUUUAGUGGAAAAUUUAUUGAUUAAAAUAUCACUAAAACUACACAAAAAUGAUCCAGUUUUAGUCGACUGAUAGUUUCUAAAAUGACGAAAUGGCUCAAAUUUGACAAAGACUAAAAGCUAUUUUAGUCAAAACAAAAAAACGAAACAAAAAAAAUAGCUGACAAAAUGAAUACUGCUGGAUACCAGUCUGUGUGCCAUCAAGGCAUAACACGUGUGUCACGACAUGAUAGCACACACACAUCUGGGACCAGGCUACAUAUAAAGAGGCGAGUUGCCUUGGAAGUGUUUUUUAGCGAGGGGGCCUUUUUGCCAAUUAACAACACACAGCUGGCCUGUCAAGAAACAGCUUUUUCGUUCUCGUCUGUGCACUUGGUGUUUACGUGUAUGCUGCAUCAGAGAGCACCUUUGGCUUUGCGGUUUACCGCUGAAGAUUAGCACGUUGUUGAUACAUGAGCUGAGGUUGUGCUACAAGGGCGCAACAGACAGACACUUCUAAGACCCAGUAAUGAUGAAGGGGUUCAGAUAUCAUGGUGUCUGUUUCAGUAACGAUGAAGGGGUUCAGAUAUCAUAGUGUCUGUUUCAGUAAUGAUAAGAGGGGUUCAGAUAUCAUGGUGUCUGUUUCAGUAAUGAUGAAGGGGUUCAGAUAUCAUGGUGUCUGUUUCAGUAACGAUGAAGGGGUUCAGAUAUCAUGGUGUCUGUUUCAGUAAUGAUGAAGGGGUUCAGAUAUCAUAGUGUCUGUUUCAGUAAUGAUAAGAGGGGUUCAGAUAUCAUGGUGUCUGUUUCAGUAAUGAUGAAGGGGUUCAGAUAUCAUGGUGUCUGUUUCAGUAACGAUGAAGGGGUUCAGAUAUCAUGGUGUCUGUUUCAGUAACGAUGAAGGGGUUCAGAUAUCAUGGUGUCUGUUUCAGUAACGAUGAAGGGGUUCAGAUAUCAUAGUGUCUGUUGUUUCAGUAACGAUGAAGGGGUUCAGAUAUCAUGGUGUCUGUUUCAGUAAUGAUGAAAGGGUUCUGAUAUCAUGGUGUCUGUUUCAGUAAUGAUGAAGGGGUUCAGAUAUCAUGGUGUCUGUUUCAGUAACGAUGAAGGGGUUCAGAUAUCAUGGUGUCUGUUUCAGUAACGAUGAAGGGGUUCAGAUAUCAUAGUGUCUGUUGUUUCAGUAACGAUGAAGGGGUUCAGAUAUCAUGGUGUCUGUUUCAGUAAUGAUAAGAGGGGUUCAGAUAUCAUGGUGUCUGUUGUUUCAGUAAUGAUGAAGGGGUUCAGAUAUCAUGGUGUCUGUUUCAGUAAUGAUGAAGGGGUUCAGAUAUCAUGGUGUCUGUUGUUUCAGUAAUGAUGAAGGGGUUCAGAUAUCAUGGUGUCUGUUUCAGUAAUGAUGAAGGGGUUCAGAUAUCAUGGUGUCUGUUGUUUCAGUAACGAUGAAGGGGUUCAGAUAUCAUGGUGUCUGUUGUUUCAGUAAUGAUGAAGGGGUUCAGAUAUCAUGGUGUCUGUUUCAGUAACGAUGAAGGGGUUCAGAUAUCAUGGUGUCUGUUUCAGUAAUGAUAAGAGGGGUUCAGAUAUCAUGGUGUCUGUUUCAGUAACGAUGAAGGGGUUCAGAUAUCAUGGUGUCUGUUUCAGUAAUGAUAAGAGGGGUUCAGAUAUCAUGUUGUCUGUUUCAGUAACGAUGAAGGGGUUCAGAUAUCAUGGUGUCUGUUGUUUCAGUAACGAUGAAGUGGUUCAGAUAUCAUGGUCUCUGUUGUUUCAGUAAUGAUGAAGGGGUUCAGAUAUCAUAGUGUCUGUUGUUUCAGUAACGAUGAAGGGGUUCAGAUAUCAUGGUGUCUGUUUCAGUAAUGAUGAAAGGGUUCAGAUAUCAUGGUGUCUGUUGUUUCAGUAACGAUAAGAGGGGUUCAGAUAUCAUGGUGUCUGUUUCAGUAAUGAUGAAGGGGUUCAGAUAUCAUAGUGUCUGUUGUUUCAGUAAUGAUAAGAGGGGUUGAGAUACCAUGGUGUCUGUUUCAGUAACGAUGAAGGGGUUCAGAUAUCAUGGUGUCUGUUUCAGUAAUGAUGAAGUGGUUCAGAUAUCAUGGUGUCUGUUUCAGUAAUGAUGAAGGGGUUCAGAUAUCAUAGUGUCUGUUUCAGUAAUGAUAAGAGGGGUUCAGAUAUCAUGGUGUCUGUUUCAGUAAUGAUGAAGGGGUUCAGAUAUCAUGGUGUCUGUUUCAGUAACGAUGAAGGGGUUCAGAUAUCAUGGUGUCUGUUGUUUCAGUAAUGAUAAGAGGGGUUCAGAUAUCAUGGUGCCUGUUGUUUCAGUAACGAAGAAGGGGUUCAGAUAUCAUAGUGUCUUGUUUCAGUAAUGAUAAGAGGGGUUCAGAUAUCAUGGUGUCUGUUUCAGUAAUGAUAAGAGGGGUUCAGAUAUCAUGGUGUCUGUUUCAGUAACGAUAAAAGGGGUUCAGAUAUCAUAGUGUAUGUUGUUUCAGUAAUGAUGAAGGGGUUCAGAUAUCAUGGUGUCUGUUGUUUCAGUAACGAUAAGAGGGGUUCAGAUAUCAUGGUGUCUGUUGUUUCAGUAAUGAUAAGAGGGGUUCAGAUAUCAUAGUGUCUGUUUCAGUAAUGAUGAAGGGGUUCAGAUAUCAUGGUGUCUGUUGUUUCAGUAAUGAUAAGAGGGGUUCAGAUAUCAUGGUGUCUAUUUCAGUAAUGAUGAAGGGGUUCAGAUAUCAUGGUAUCUGUUUCAGUAACGAUGAAGGGGUUCAGAUAUCAUGGUGUCUGUUUCAGUAAUGAUAAGAGGGGUUCAGAUAUCAUGGUGUCUGUUUCAGUAAUGACAAGAGGGGUUCAGAUAUCAUGGUGUCUGUUGUUUCAGUAAUGAUGAAGGGGUUCAGAUAUCAUGGUGUCUGUUGUUUCAGUAACGAUGAAUGGGUUCAGAUAUCAUGGUGUCUGUUGUUUCAGUAAUGAUGAAGGGGUUCAGAUAUCAUGGUGUCUGUUUCAGUAAUGAUAAGAGGGGUUCAGAUAUCAUGGUGUCUGUUGUUUCAGUAAUGAUGAAGGGGUUCAGAAAUCAUGGUGUCUGUUGUUUCAGUAAUGAUGAAGGGGUUCAGAUAUCAUGGUGUCUGUUUCAGUAAUGAUAAGAGGGUUCAGAUAUCAUGGUGUCUGUUGUUUCAGUAAUGAUAAGAGGGGUUCAGAUAUCAUGGUGUCUGUUGUUUCAGUAAUGAUGAAGGGGUUCAGAUAUCAUGGUGUCUGUUUCAGUAACGAUGAAGGGGUUCAGAUAUCAUGGUGUCUGUUUCAGUAAUGAUGAAGUGGUUCAGAUAUCAUGGUGUCUGUUUCAGUAAUGAUGAAGGGGUUCAGAUAUCAUAGUGUCUGUUUCAGUAAUGAUAAGAGGGGUUCAGAUAUCAUGGUGUCUGUUUCAGUAAUGAUGAAGGGGUUCAGAUAUCAUGGUGUCUGUUUCAGUAACGAUGAAGGGGUUCAGAUAUCAUGGUGUCUGUUGUUUCAGUAAUGAUAAGAGGGGUUCAGAUAUCAUGGUGUCUGUUGUUUCAGUAACGAAGAAGGGGUUCAGAUAUCAUAGUGUCUUGUUUCAGUAAUGAUAAGAGGGGUUCAGAUAUCAUGGUGUCUGUUUCAGUAAUGAUAAGAGGGGUUCAGAUAUCAUGGUGUCUGUUUCAGUAACGAUAAAAGGGGUUCAGAUAUCAUAGUGUAUGUUGUUUCAGUAAUGAUGAAGGGGUUCAGAUAUCAUGGUGUCUGUUGUUUCAGUAACGAUAAGAGGGGUUCAGAUAUCAUGGUGUCUGUUGUUUCAGUAACGAAGAAGGGGUUCAGAUAUCAUAGUGUCUUGUUUCAGUAAUGAUAAGAGGGGUUCAGAUAUCAUGGUGUCUGUUUCAGUAAUGAUAAGAGGGGUUCAGAUAUCAUGGUGUCUGUUUCAGUAACGAUAAAAGGGGUUCAGAUAUCAUAGUGUAUGUUGUUUCAGUAAUGAUGAAGGGGUUCAGAUAUCAUGGUGUCUGUUGUUUCAGUAACGAUAAGAGGGGUUCAGAUAUCAUAGUGUCUGUUUCAGUAAUGAUGAAGGGGUUCAGAUAUCAUGGUGUCUGUUGUUUCAGUAAUGAUAAGAGGGGUUCAGAUAUCAUGGUGUCUAUUUCAGUAAUGAUGAAGGGGUUCAGAUAUCAUGGUAUCUGUUUCAGUAACGAUGAAGGGGUUCAGAUAUCAUGGUGUCUGUUUCAGUAAUGAUAAGAGGGGUUCAGAUAUCAUGGUGUCUGUUUCAGUAAUGACAAGAGGGGUUCAGAUAUCAUGGUGUCUGUUGUUUCAGUAAUGAUGAAGGGGUUCAGAUAUCAUGGUGUCUGUUGUUUCAGUAACGAUGAAUGGGUUCAGAUAUCAUGGUGUCUGUUGUUUCAGUAAUGAUGAAGGGGUUCAGAUAUCAUGGUGUCUGUUUCAGUAAUGAUAAGAGGGGUUCAGAUAUCAUGGUGUCUGUUGUUUCAGUAAUGAUGAAGGGGUUCAGAAAUCAUGGUGUCUGUUGUUUCAGUAAUGAUGAAGGGGUUCAGAUAUCAUGGUGUCUGUUUCAGUAAUGAUAAGAGGGGUUCAGAUAUCAUGGUGUCUGUUGUUUCAGUAAUGAUAAGAGGGGUUCAGAUAUCAUGGUGUCUGUUGUUUCAGUAAUGAUGAAGGGGUUCAGAUAUCAUGGUGUCUGUUUCAGUAACGAUGAAGGGGUUCAGAUAUCAUGGUGUCUGUUUCAGUAAUGAUGAAGUGGUUCAGAUAUCAUGGUGUCUGUUUCAGUAAUGAUGAAGGGGUUCAGAUAUCAUAGUGUCUGUUUCAGUAAUGAUAAGAGGGGUUCAGAUAUCAUGGUGUCUGUUUCAGUAAUGAUGAAGGGGUUCAGAUAUCAUGGUGUCUGUUUCAGUAACGAUGAAGGGGUUCAGAUAUCAUGGUGUCUGUUGUUUCAGUAAUGAUAAGAGGGGUUCAGAUAUCAUGGUGUCUGUUGUUUCAGUAACGAAGAAGGGGUUCAGAUAUCAUAGUGUCUUGUUUCAGUAAUGAUAAGAGGGGUUCAGAUAUCAUGGUGUCUGUUUCAGUAAUGAUAAGAGGGGUUCAGAUAUCAUGGUGUCUGUUUCAGUAACGAUAAAAGGGGUUCAGAUAUCAUAGUGUAUGUUGUUUCAGUAAUGAUGAAGGGGUUCAGAUAUCAUGGUGUCUGUUGUUUCAGUAACGAUAAGAGGGGUUCAGAUAUCAUGGUGUCUGUUGUUUCAGUAAUGAUAAGAGGGGUUCAGAUAUCAUAGUGUCUGUUUCAGUAAUGAUGAAGGGGUUCAGAUAUCAUGGUGUCUGUUGUUUCAGUAAUGAUAAGAGGGGUUCAGAUAUCAUGGUGUCUAUUUCAGUAAUGAUGAAGGGGUUCAGAUAUCAUGGUAUCUGUUUCAGUAACGAUGAAGGGGUUCAGAUAUCAUGGUGUCUGUUUCAGUAAUGAUAAGAGGGGUUCAGAUAUCAUGGUGUCUGUUUCAGUAAUGACAAGAGGGGUUCAGAUAUCAUGGUGUCUGUUGUUUCAGUAAUGAUGAAGGGGUUCAGAUAUCAUGGUGUCUGUUGUUUCAGUAACGAUGAAUGGGUUCAGAAAUCAUGGUGUCUGUUGUUUCAGUAAUGAUGAAGGGGUUCAGAUAUCAUGGUGUCUGUUUCAGUAAUGAUAAGAGGGGUUCAGAUAUCAUGGUGUCUGUUGUUUCAGUAAUGAUAAGAGGGGUUCAGAUAUCAUGGUGUCUGUUGUUUCAGUAAUGAUGAAGGGGUUCAGAUAUCAUGGUGUCUGUUUCAGUAAUGAUGAAGGGGUUCAGAUAUCAUGGUGUCUGUUUCAGUAAUGAUAAGAGGGGUUCAGAUAUCAUGGUGUCUGUUUCAGUAAUGACAAGAGGGGUUCAGAUAUCAUGGUGUCUGUUGUUUCAGUAAUGAUGAAGGGGUUCAGAUAUCAUGGUGUCUGUUGUUUCAGUAACGAUGAAUGGGUUCAGAUAUCAUGGUGUCUGUUGUUUCAGUAAUGAUGAAGGGGUUCAGAUAUCAUGGUGUCUGUUUCAGUAAUGAUAAGAGGGGUUCAGAUAUCAUGGUGUCUGUUUCAAAUGAUGAAGUGGUUCAGAUAUCAUGGUGUCUGUUUCAGUAAUGAUGAAGGGGUUCAGAUAUCAUAGUGUCUGUUUCAGUAAUGAUAAGAGGGGUUCAGAUAUCAUGGUGUCUGUUUCAGUAAUGAUGAAGGGGUUCAGAUAUCAUGGUGUCUGUUUCAGUAACGAUGAAGGGGUUCAGAUAUCAUGGUGUCUGUUGUUUCAGUAAUGAUAAGAGGGGUUCAGAUAUCAUGGUGUCUGUUGUUUCAGUAACGAAGAAGGGGUUCAGAUAUCAUAGUGUCUUGUUUCAGUAAUGAUAAGAGGGGUUCAGAUAUCAUGGUGUCUGUUUCAGUAAUGAUAAGAGGGGUUCAGAUAUCAUGGUGUCUGUUUCAGUAACGAUAAAAGGGGUUCAGAUAUCAUAGUGUAUGUUGUUUCAGUAAUGAUGAAGGGGUUCAGAUAUCAUGGUGUCUGUUGUUUCAGUAACGAUAAGAGGGGUUCAGAUAUCAUGGUGUCUGUUGUUUCAGUAAUGAUAAGAGGGGUUCAGAUAUCAUAGUGUCUGUUUCAGUAAUGAUGAAGGGGUUCAGAUAUCAUGGUGUCUGUUGUUUCAGUAAUGAUAAGAGGGGUUCAGAUAUCAUGGUGUCUAUUUCAGUAAUGAUGAAGGGGUUCAGAUAUCAUGGUAUCUGUUUCAGUAACGAUGAAGGGGUUCAGAUAUCAUGGUGUCUGUUUCAGUAAUGAUAAGAGGGGUUCAGAUAUCAUGGUGUCUGUUUCAGUAAUGACAAGAGGGGUUCAGAUAUCAUGGUGUCUGUUGUUUCAGUAAUGAUGAAGGGGUUCAGAUAUCAUGGUGUCUGUUGUUUCAGUAACGAUGAAUGGGUUCAGAAAUCAUGGUGUCUGUUGUUUCAGUAAUGAUGAAGGGGUUCAGAUAUCAUGGUGUCUGUUUCAGUAAUGAUAAGAGGGGUUCAGAUAUCAUGGUGUCUGUUGUUUCAGUAAUGAUAAGAGGGGUUCAGAUAUCAUGGUGUCUGUUGUUUCAGUAAUGAUGAAGGGGUUCAGAUAUCAUGGUAUCUGUUUCAGUAACGAUGAAGGGGUUCAGAUAUCAUGGUGUCUGUUUCAGUAAUGAUAAGAGGGGUUCAGAUAUCAUGGUGUCUGUUUCAGUAAUGACAAGAGGGGUUCAGAUAUCAUGGUGUCUCUUGUUUCAGUAAUGAUGAAGGGGUUCAGAUAUCAUGGUGUCUGUUGUUUCAGUAACGAUGAAUGGGUUCAGAUAUCAUGGUGUCUGUUGUUUCAGUAAUGAUGAAGGGGUUCAGAUAUCAUGGUGUCUGUUUCAGUAAUGAUAAGAGGGGUUCAGAUAUCAUGGUGUCUGUUGUUUCAGUAAUGAUGAAGGGGUUCAGAAAUCAUGGUGUCUGUUGUUUCAGUAAUGAUGAAGGGGUUCAGAUAUCAUGGUGUCUGUUUCAGUAAUGAUAAGAGGGGUUCAGAUAUCAUGGUGUCUGUUGUUUCAGUAAUGAUAAGAGGGGUUCAGAUAUCAUGGUGUCUGUUGUUUCAGUAAUGAUGAAGGGGUUCAGAUAUCAUGGUGUCUGUUUCAGUAACGAUGAAGGGGUUCAGAUAUCAUGGUGUCUGUUGUUUCAGUAAUGAUGAAGGGGUUCAGAUAUCAUAGUGUCUGUUUCAGUAACGAUGAAGGGGUUCAGAUAUCAUGGUGUCUGUUUCAGUAAUGAUGAAGGGGUUAAGAUAUCAUGGUGUCUGUUGUUUCAGUAAUGAUGAAGGGGUUCAGAUAUCAUGGUGUCUGGUGUUUCAGUAAUGAUGAAGGGGUUCAGAUAUCAUGGUGUCUGUUUCAGUAAUGAUGAAGGGGUUCAGAUAUCAUAGUGUCUGUUGUUUCAGUAAAGAUGAAGGGGUUCAGAUAUCAUGGUGUCUGUUUCAGUAAUGAUGAAGGGGUUCAGAUAGCAUGGUGUCUGUUUCAGUAAUGAUGAAGGGGUUCAGAUAUCAUGGUGUCUGUUGUUUCAGUAAUGAUAAGAGGGGUUCAGAUAUCAUGGUGUCUGUUUCAGUAAUGAUGAAGGGGUUCAGAUAUCAUGGUGUCUGUUUCAGUAAUGCUGAAUGGGUUCAGAUAUCAUAGUGUCUGUUGUUUCAGUAAAGAUGAAGGGGUUCAGAUAUCAUGGUGUCUGUUUCAGUAAUGAUGAAGGGGUUCAGAUAUCAUGGUGUCUGUUGUUUCAGUAAUGAUAAGAGGGGUUCAGAUAUCAUGGUGUCUGUUUCAGUAAUGAUGAAGGGUUUCAGAUAUCAUGGUGUCUGUUUCAGUAAUGAUAAGAGGGGUUCAGAUAUCAUGGUGUCUGUUUCAGUAAUGAUGAAGGGGUUCAGAUAUCAUGGUGUCUGUUGUUUCAGUAAUGAUAAGAGGGUUUCAGAUAUCAUGGUGUCUGUUUCAGUAAUGAUGAAGGGGUUCAGAUAUCAUGGUGUCUGUUUCAGUAAUGAUGAAGGGGUUCAGAUAUCAUAGUGUCUGUUGUUUCAGUAAAGAUGAAGGGGUUCAGAUAUCAUGGUGUCUGUUUCAGUAAUGAUGAAGGGGUUCAGAUAUCAUGGUGUCUGUUGUUUCAGUAAUGAUAAGAGGGGUUCAGAUAUCAUGGUGUCUGUUGUUUCAGUAAUGAUGAAGGGGUUCAGAUAUCAUGGUGUCUGUUUCAGUAAUGAUGAAUGGGUUCAGAUAUCAUAGUGUCUGUUGUUUCAGUAAAGAUGAAGGGGUUCAGAUAUCAUGGUGUCUGUUUCAGUAAUGAUGAAGGGGUUCAGAUAUCAUGGUGUCUGUUGUUUCAGUAAUGAUAAGAGGGGUUCAGAUAUCAUGGUGUCUGUUUCAGUAAUGAUGAAGGGUUUCAGAUAUCAUGGUGUCUGUUUCAGUAAUGAUAAGAGGGGUUCAGAUAUCAUGGUGUCUGUUGUUUCAGUAACGAUGAAGGGGUUCAGAUAUCAUAGUGUCUGUUGUUUCAGUAACGAUGAAGGGGUUCAGAUAUCAUGGUGUCUGUUUCAGUAACGAUGAAGGGGUUCAGAUAUCAUGGUGUCUGUUUCAGUAACGAUGAAGGGGUUCAGAUAUCAUAGUGUCUGUUGUUUCAGUAAUGAUGAAGGGUUCGGAUAUCAUGGUGUCUGUUGUUUCAGUAAUGAUGAAGGGGUUCAGAUAUCAUAGUGUCUGUUGUUUCAGUAAUGAUGAAGGGGUUCAGAUAUCAUAGUGUCUGUUGUUUCAGUAACAAUGAAGGGGUUCAGAUAUCAUGGUGUCUGUUUCAGUAAUGAUGAAGGGGUUCAGAUAUCAUAGUGUCUGUUGUUUCAGUAAUGAUGAAGGGGUUCAGAUAUCAUAGUGUCUGUUGUUUCAGUAAUGAUGAAGGGGUUCAGAUAUCAUAGUGUCUGUUGUUUCAGUAAUGAUGAAGGGGUUCAGAUAUCAUGGUGUCUGUUGUUUCAGUAAUGAUGAAGGGGUUCAGAUAUCAUGGUGUCUGUUGUUUCAGUCAUCAUCGUGCUUCUACACCUGCAUUGCUUGCUGUUUGGGAUUUUAUGGCUGGGUUUCUGUACAGCACUUUGAGAUAUCAGCUGAUGUAAGAAGGGCUUUAUAAAUCGAUUUGAUUUGAUGUCCUUGGCCUCAUUGAGUACCUGGGACUCAGUUCCAAAAUCCAAAGUAACUUAUAACUUAUUAACAUAUAACUUAGAGUGAAGCAAUGUUAUUUUUGUCAUGCAUUCUAAGUGGUGUGCUGGAAUGGACAUUGGUACGUAGCUGGGUUUUAUUAUAUUCAGUUACUUAUUUCUAAAAGUAUGUGACUUACUCUAUUUACCUUUCUACCAUCUGUAGUUUAUUAGAGAUCAACUGUUCGUCCGUGGAUGUUAUACAUGGACCAACGAAUGUGGAAUGUUGAAACCGAGAUAUGAGAGGAACUGUGACGUACAGCCACGUCUCUGACGUGAAAUCACGUCUGCAAACAUUGAAUUGGACUUUGUCUAAAUACUGUAUUGCUCAAACGUAAAUAAGAAAGUGUAUUUCCUAAUACCUGAUUAUUGUAUUGGGGGUAUUCUCUAGCAACACUGUGUGUGUAUUUCCUAAUACCUGAUUAUUGUAUUGGGGGUAUUCUCUAGCAACACUGUGUGUGUGUAUUUCCUAAUACCUGAUUAUUGUAUUGGGGGUAUUCUCUAGCAACACUGUGUGUGUGUAUUUCCUAAUACCUGAUUAUUGUAUUGGGGGUAUUCUCUAGCAACACUGUGUGUGUGUAUUUCCUAAUACCUGAUUAUUGUAUUGGGGGUAUUCUCUAGCAACACUGUGUGUGUAUUUCCUAAUACCUGAUUAUUGUAUUGGGGGUAUUCUCUAGCAACACUGUGUGUGUGUAUUUCCUAAUACCUGAUUAUUGUAUUGGGGGUAUUCUCUAGCAACACUGUGUGUGUGUAUUUCCUAAUACCUGAUUAUUGUAUUGGGGGUAUUCUCUAGCAACACUGUGUGUGUGUAUUUCCUAAUACCUGAUUAUUGUAUUGGGGGUAUUCUCUAGCAACACUGUGUGUGUUUAUUUCCUAAUACCUGAUUAUUGUAUUGGGGGUAUUCUCUAGCAACACUGUGUGUGUGUAACUGUGUGUGUGUAUUUCCUAAUACCUGAUUAUUGUAUUGGGGGUAUUCUCUAGCAACACUGUGUGUGUGUGUGUAUUUCCUAAUACCUGAUUAUUUUAUUGGGGGUAUUCUCUAGCAACACUGUGUGUGUUUAU